CGUGAUCCGGGUUGCGGACAGUGUCUGGUGGGUAGUUUGACUGGGGCGGUCUCCUCCUAAAGAGUAACGGAGGAGCACGAAGGUUGGCUAAUCCUGGUCGGACAUCAGGAGGUUAGUGCAAUGGCAUAAGCCAGCUUGACUGCGAGCGUGACGGCGCGAGCAGGUGCGAAAGCAGGUCAUAGUGAUCCGGUGGUUCUGAAUGGAAGGGCCAUCGCUCAACGGAUAAAAGGUACUCCGGGGAUAACAGGCUGAUACCGCCCAAGAGUUCAUAUCGACGGCGGUGUUUGGCACCUCGAUGUCGGCUCAUCACAUCCUGGGGCUGAAGUAGGUCCCAAGGGUAUGGCUGUUCGCCAUUUAAAGUGGUACGCGAGCUGGGUUUAGAACGUCGUGAGACAGUUCGGUCCCUAUCUGCCGUGGGCGCUGGAGAACUGAGGGGGGCUGCUCCUAGUACGAGAGGACCGGAGUGGACGCAUCACUGGUGUUCGGGUUGUCAUGCCAAUGGCACUGCCCGGUAGCUAAAUGCGGAAGAGAUAAGUGCUGAAAGCAUCUAAGCACGAAACUUGCCCCGA
This 569-nucleotide ribosomal RNA is filed under the name Escherichia coli. RNAcentral describes it as "partial 23S ribosomal RNA". It matches the Rfam family "Bacterial large subunit ribosomal RNA", at positions 2234 to 2802 of the family's 2925-position model. RNAcentral also lists the same sequence under 7 other names. The record is from RNAcentral. Lineage: Bacteria; Pseudomonadati; Pseudomonadota; Gammaproteobacteria; Enterobacterales; Enterobacteriaceae.